Molecule: long non-coding RNA, 1313 nt
Filed under: Anser cygnoides (Swan goose)
Lineage: Eukaryota; Metazoa; Chordata; Aves; Anseriformes; Anatidae
Description: lncRNA (ENSACDG00005008572.1)
Source: RNAcentral
GGGAAACAGCUUUAAGAUUUUUAUGAAUAAACUUAGGUUUGAAUUUAAAUUCAUUGUAAUCGGUGUAGUCUCUAGUGUUAUAUUUUGUUACCAUUGUCUUCCUUUGUUUAGAAAAAAUCUAUCUGGAACUUUCAAAAGUGAAUGGACACAUUCUACUGAUUGUAAAGUUCUGCCCAACACAAUUAUUUCUAAGCCAUUACAGACAUCUGGAGACCCCUCACACCUCUUUCUGAGUGAACUGCAGCGGACCCCACAUCAUAUAUUCUUGUUCAGUGUCGGGAAAAUAACGGCUACAGGCAGAAACCAGAUCUGAGGCUUUCAGACGAGUGCUCUGGCACUGAGGUAAAACAGAAGGCAUUGCAGAUUUCUGUUCCUGAUAACUACCGAGUACAUGCUGAAGAGAAACCAAACCUGAACUGCAAUAAUUGACCGGGGAAAUUCUCACUGGGAAGAUGCUACACUGACUAAUCUGUGAGCAAGAUUUAUAAAUGAAAGGCUCUAAAACUGCCUGAGGUUUACUAUAAAGAGUGAGGCAUUACUUUUUUUUCAAAGGAAACCAAUUUGCUGAGGGCUGCUUUGUGCAGUUGAAGGGGUGCUUCUUUUAGUAGCAUCACAAAUUAGAGCUGCCAUUGGAGAAAUAGAGGUGUAUUGAUAGCAAGCAGGUGGCUCUUGUUCCAAGGAGAUAUGUUUGGUACCAUUUUAUGAUUGAGCUGAUGCUGUGACAUAUUAAGUGGAGCUUGUCAUUCUCCCAUCUGGUCUACACAACUGCUGGAGGCGGAACCCAUUUAGGAAGUUGCACAUUUCUUGCAGAUGUUCCUGAAUGUUUCAUAAAUAACUAACAGAAACCACUGAUUCAUUUGGCUUUAUUAAACCUAUCUUAGGGGAAUCAUGUCAUUGUUCAUGGAGAAAAUUGUAUGUGUUGCUUGGCAUUUAAGAAACUUAUUAUCAAAUUACAGCACUUUAAAGCCUUACUUGGUGCUAAUGGGAAAAUUGUAAAGUACAGAUCAGGACUUCUUUCGGCCUGAUUAUAAUUUAUGUAAAUGACUGCACUUGAUAAAGAGUCCUUCAUGCUAAGUAAAAUGCUUUUUGCCUGUGGAACCCAGUGGUGGCUUGUUUUCGUUUCCCUGUGGAUGCAGUUUAUCCUUGGGUCUUAUCUGGAAGAAGCAGUUGUUGCAGAAUGCUGUGUUCACUUCAUACAUCAUUUAAACUGGUUUUGUUAUUGAUGAAUUGCUUUUGUAAUUCCGAGAUGAAAGUGAACAUUAUAAACAAGGCAUUCCCGUAUUAGCUUUUCUGUGCAUUGCCCAAUGGGCAAU